CCCUCAUUCUUUAAAAAAAGAGGGCUUUUUAAGAAAACACCCUUUAAGAAAAAGUUUUUUAUAAAAUUAAAGAAAAACUUUCUUGUAAGAGUGUAUUUUUUAUCUAAGAGUUUGCUCUUUUAUUUGAGAGUUUGCUUUUUUAAGAGUUUUCCGGGGAAGGUUUUCCGGUUUAUCCCGGAGGGCUUGUAGCUCAGUUGGUUAGAGCGCGCGCUU
RNAcentral lists this unclassified non-coding RNA (213 nucleotides) under uncultured Bartonella sp. Its description in RNAcentral is "partial 16S-23S ribosomal RNA intergenic spacer". Lineage: Bacteria; Pseudomonadati; Pseudomonadota; Alphaproteobacteria; Hyphomicrobiales; Bartonellaceae. The record is from RNAcentral.